UACGGAGGGUGCAAGCGUUAAUCGGAAUCACUGGGCGUAAAGCGCACGUAGGCGGUGCCGUAAGUCGGAUGUGAAAGCCCUCGGCUCAACCGGGGAACUGCAUUCGAUACUGCGGUGCUUGAGUGUCGGAGAGGGUGGCGGAAUUCCAGGUGUAGGAGUGAAAUCCGUAGAUAUCUGGAGGAACACCAGUGGCGAAGGCGGCCACCUGGCCGACAACUGACGCUGAGGUGCGAAAGCGUGGGGAUCAAAC
Molecule: ribosomal RNA, 250 nt
Filed under: uncultured Desulfovibrio sp.
Lineage: Bacteria; Pseudomonadati; Thermodesulfobacteriota; Desulfovibrionia; Desulfovibrionales; Desulfovibrionaceae
Description: partial 16S ribosomal RNA
Rfam family: Bacterial small subunit ribosomal RNA
Source: RNAcentral